UAACGCGUGGAUAACCUGCCGUAUACCGGGGGAUAACACUUAGAAAUAGGUGCUAAUACCGCAUGAGCGCACAGCUCCGCAUGGGGCGGUGUGAAAAACUCCGGUGGUAUACNAUGGAUCCGCGUCUGAUUAGCCAGUUGGCGGGGUAACGGCCCACCAAAGCGACGAUCAGUAGCCGGCCUGAGAGGGUGAACGGCCACAUUGGGACUGAGACACGGCCCAGACUCCUACGGGAGGCAGCAGUGGGGAAUAUUGCACAAUGGGGGAAACCCUGAUGCAGCGACGCCGCGUGAGUGAAGAAGUAUCUCGGUAUGUAAAGCUCUAUCAGCAGGAAAGAUAAUGACGGUACCUGACUNAGAAGCCCCGGCUAACUACGUGCCAGCAGCCGCGGUNAUACGUAGGGGGCAAGCGUUAUCCGGAUUUACUGGNUGUAAAGGGAGCGUANANNGCAGCGCAAGUCUGGAGUGAAAUGCCGGNGCCCAACCCCGGAACUGCUUUGGAAACUGUGCGGCUCGAGUGCGGGAGAGGUAGGCGGAAUUCCUAGUGUAGCGGNGAAAUGCGUAGAUAUUAGGAGGAACACCAGUGGCGAAGGCGGCUUACUGGACCGUNACUGACGUUGAGGCUCGAAAGNGUGGG
This 636-nucleotide ribosomal RNA is filed under the name uncultured bacterium. Its description in RNAcentral is "bacterial SSU rRNA". It matches the Rfam family "Bacterial small subunit ribosomal RNA", at positions 111 to 765 of the family's 1533-position model. The record is from RNAcentral.